This 465-nucleotide ribosomal RNA is filed under the name Vreelandella stevensii. RNAcentral's name for it is "partial 16S ribosomal RNA". It matches the Rfam family "Bacterial small subunit ribosomal RNA", at positions 338 to 795 of the family's 1533-position model. Lineage: Bacteria; Pseudomonadati; Pseudomonadota; Gammaproteobacteria; Oceanospirillales; Halomonadaceae. The record is from RNAcentral.
CCUACGGGGGGCAGCAGUGGGGAAUAUUGGACAAUGGGCGAAAGCCUGAUCCAGCCAUGCCGCGUGUGUGAAGAAGGCCUUCGGGUUGUAAAGCACUUUCAGUGGGGAAGAAAGCCUUGGGGCUAAUACCCUCGAGGAAGGACAUCACCCACAGAAGAAGCACCGGCUAACUCCGUGCCAGCAGCCGCGGUAAUACGGAGGGUGCGAGCGUUAAUCGGAAUUACUGGGCGUAAAGCGCGCGUAGGCGGUCUGAUAAGCCGGUUGUGAAAGCCCCGGGCUCAACCUGGGAACGGCAUCCGGAACUGUCAGGCUAGAGUGCAGGAGAGGAAGGUAGAAUUCCCGGAGUAGCGGUGAAAUGCGUAGAGAUCGGGAGGAAUACCAGUGGCGAAGGCGGCCUUCUGGACUGACACUGACGCUGAGGUGCGAAAGCGUGGGUAGCAAACAGGAUUAGAUACCCGAGUAGUC